AGUGAACGCUGGCGGUAGGCCUAACACAUGCAAGUCGAACGGCAGCACAGUAAGAGCUUGCUCUUACGGGUGGCGAAUGGCGGACGGGUGAGGAAUACAUCGGAAUCUACUUUUUCGUGGGGGAUAACGUAGGGAAACUUACGCUAAUACCGCAUACGACCUACGGGUGAAAGCAGGGGAUCUUCGGACCUUGCGCGAUUGAAUGAGCCGAUGUCGGAUUAGCUAGUUGGCGGGGUAAAGGCCCACCAAGGCGACGAUCCGUAGCUGGUCUGAGAGGAUGAUCAGCCACACUGGAACUGAGACACGGUCCAGACUCCUACGGGAGGCAGCAGUGGGGAAUAUUGGACAAAGGGCGCAAGCCUGAUCCAGCCAUACCGCGUGGGUGAAGAAGGCCUUCGGGUUGUAAAGCCCUUUUGUUGGGAAAGAAAAGCAGCAGGUUAAUACCCCGCUGUUCUGACGGUACCCAAAGAAUAAGCACCGGCUAACUUCGUG
RNAcentral lists this ribosomal RNA (492 nucleotides) under uncultured bacterium. RNAcentral describes it as "partial 16S ribosomal RNA". It matches the Rfam family "Bacterial small subunit ribosomal RNA", at positions 29 to 507 of the family's 1533-position model. The record is from RNAcentral.